GAUGAACGCUGGCGGCGUGCCUAAUACAUGCAAGUCGAGCGAACGGACGAGAAGCUUGCUUCUCUGAUGUUAGCGGCGGACGGGUGAGUAACACGUGGAUAACCUACCUAUAAGACUGGGAUAACUUCGGGAAACCGGAGCUAAUACCGGAUAAUAUUUUGAACCGCAUGGUUCAAAAGUGAAAGACGGUCUUGCUGUCACUUAUAGAUGGAUCUGCGCUGCAUUAGCUAGUUGGUAAGGUAACGGCUUACCAAGGCAACGAUGCAUAGCCGACCUGAGAGGGUGAUCGGCCACACUGGAACUGAGACACGGUCCAGACUCCUACGGGAGGCAGCAGAAGGGAAUCUUCCGCAAUGGGCGAAAGCCUGACGGAGCAACGCCGCGUGAGUGAUGAAGGUCUUCGGAUCGUAAAACUCUGUUAUUAGGGAAGAACAUAUGUGUAAGUAACUGUGCACAUCUUGACGGUACCUAAUCAGAAAGCCACGGCUAACUACGUG
RNAcentral lists this ribosomal RNA (497 nucleotides) under uncultured bacterium. RNAcentral describes it as "partial 16S ribosomal RNA". It matches the Rfam family "Bacterial small subunit ribosomal RNA", at positions 28 to 507 of the family's 1533-position model. The record is from RNAcentral.